CUCACGCCGCGCCCGCUCACGCCGCACCCCCGCUGGCACGCAACUUCCGACUUUCAGACAUGUACGGUUUGUUUACAAGACGCAGAUGGACCAUAUUGCCAUAUUGAGUCAUGGCGGCAACAACUCCCGGGAAGCACCUGUGUGCACUCAGCCUGAGCACAGAGGCUCCAUUUUGGUUCAUUGAGAGGGACAUGGCACGCAUCUGAAAAUGGUGGUGCAUUAGUCUAAUGGAACGGUUCCAGAUUGACGGCCAUGGACAGAGGUUUGCAUACUGGACUAAUGAGGCCAGAGCAUUGCUCCAAGGUUCACUGCAGCCGAUAUACAGGGUCCCAAAGGUCAGCAUGAGGUGAACAUGAGGUUUCGAUUAGAAAAGGAUGACAGGUGCAUCAUAUUGGAGUUACCAACGUGUGUGCUUUCUGAAAUCCUAAAUGAAGUGGUACUACAGGAAGGAGAUAAGGCAUACUUAAGAUUGGCUCUUGUGUGUACCACCUUCAGGGACACUGUGUCCACUGACUCCUUCAGGAGACGGGCACAUUUUCAGUGGCUUGACAGUGUCGCUACAUGGAGCAGGUUUUCUGAGUCCUCAAGAAAAUAAUUCUACACCAUGUACACCGUGGACACCUGUAGUGAAUGUGGAAUGCUUUUCAAAAACUGCACACCUGGAUAUGUUGGAACAGGACAAAGGGGUGUACUUGAAGCAGUUUACUCAGAAGACCCACAUCCAGGUUACGGCGAUCACUUUUGCCGCCAAAUGCAAUAGUGAGAACGGACACGUAUACUAACUGUUGGCAGACAACCCUGAGCCAGCUGGGUGUUUUUCAAGCUGCAGGCCACGGUGACAAUUUGUGGCUGGAAACUUGGGAUUGGAUUUUGAAUUCUCCAGUGUUAUUACAGACUGUUAAUUAAUUGUUAUUGACAAAAAACAGAUGUCAUAUGUUUAAACAACCUUUGGGUGAACUUUUUGUAUAAUUUUAAAAAUGUUAAAACUAACAUCUAUUGAGAGUCUACUUUAUGCUUUUUUGGUUUUAAUAACGUCCUGUUCAAUGUGUAAUAAAAUUCAAAUCCUCUGAA
This is a long non-coding RNA of Esox lucius (northern pike), 1071 nucleotides long. RefSeq lists it as uncharacterized. The transcript has 9 exons. The record is from RefSeq and is a predicted model, not a curated record. NCBI's taxonomy places the organism in Eukaryota, Metazoa, Chordata, Actinopteri, Esociformes, Esocidae.